This 598-nucleotide ribosomal RNA is filed under the name bacterium amp-w-75. Its description in RNAcentral is "bacterial SSU rRNA". It matches the Rfam family "Bacterial small subunit ribosomal RNA", at positions 52 to 649 of the family's 1533-position model. The record is from RNAcentral.
CACAUGCAGUCGAACGAUAUUUCCAGCUUGCUGGGAAGAAAGUGGCGCACGGGUGCGUAACGCGGUAUCGCACCUACCUUGAUCAGGGGGAUAGCCCGAAGAAAUUCGGAUUAACACCGCAUAAAAACACAGUACAGCAUUGUACAAUGUUCAAAUAUUUAUAGGAUCAAGAUGGGCAUGCGUGACAUUAGUUAGUUGGCGGGGUAACGGCCCACCAAGACCACGAUGUCUAGGGGAUCUGAGAGGAUGACCCCCCACACUGGUACUGAGACACGGACCAGACUCCUACGGGAGGCAGCAGUAAGGAAUAUUGGUCAAUGGAGGCAACUCUGAACCAGCCAUGCCGCGUGCAGGAAGACAGCCCUCUGGGUCGUAAACUGCUUUUAUUCGGGAAUAAACCUAUCUACGUGUAGAUAGCUGAAUGUACCGAAGGAAUAAGGAUCGGCUAACUCCGUGCCAGCAGCCGCGGUAAUACGGAGGAUCCAAGCGUUAUCCGGAUUUAUUGGGUUUAAAGGGUGCGUAGGCGGCUUUUUAAGUCAGGGGUGAAAGACGGUGGCUCAACCAUCGCAGUGCCCUUGAUACUGAAGAGCUUGAAUGA